CUUGAGUAGAGCAUGUCUGGUCUUGGGUGCUGGGAGAUGGGAAAAGAGUGAUUAUUUCCCCUUAAUUUCCACAGUGGGAAGACUUGGCAAGAUAGCUCUGGAAGAUAGCUCCAGCUCAGGAAGAAGACCCUGCAGCCCAUUUCCUUUCAAAAGGCAGAGAUGAACAUUUUCCCUGGCCGUCUUGAAAUACACCAAUAUGUUUGGAAAUAAAGAGACUUGGCUUCCUGGUCCUGCUCUAAGAUGGGAGCUUAAACCUAUGGAAUGUGACACCACU
Long non-coding RNA from Homo sapiens (human), 274 nucleotides. RefSeq lists it as uncharacterized. The transcript is spliced from 3 exons. Lineage: Eukaryota; Metazoa; Chordata; Mammalia; Primates; Hominidae. The record is from RefSeq and is a predicted model, not a curated record.